Molecule: ribosomal RNA, 253 nt
Filed under: uncultured prokaryote
Description: partial 16S ribosomal RNA
Rfam family: Bacterial small subunit ribosomal RNA
Source: RNAcentral
ACAGAGGUGGCAAGCGUUGUUCGGAAUUACUGGGCGUAAAGGGCGCGUAGGCGGUUCGGUAAGUCCCGUGUGAAAUCCCUCGGCUCAACUGAGGAACUGCACGGGAGACUGCCGGGCUUGAGUUCGGGAGAGGGAAGCGGAAUUCCGGGUGUAGCGGUGAAAUGCGUAGAUAUCCGGAGGAACACCGGUGGCGAAGGCGGCUUCCUGGACCGACACUGACGCUGAGGCGCGAAAGCUAGGGGAGCAAACGGGA